AUGAACGCUGGCGGCGUGCCUCAUACAUGCAAGUCGAGCGAACAGACGAGGAGCUUGCUCCUCUGACGUUAGCGGCGGACGGGUGAGUAACCCGUGGAUAACCUACCUAUAAGACUGGGAUAACUUCGGGAAACCGGAGCUAAUACCGGAUAAUAUAUUGAACCGCCUGGUUCAAUAGUGAAAGACGGUUUUGCUGUCACUUAUUGAUGGAUCCGCGCCGCAUUAGCUAGUUGGUAAGGUAACGGCUUACCAAGGCAACGAUGCGUAGCCGACCUGAGAGGGUGAUCGGCCACACUGGAACUGAGACACGGUCCAGACUCCUACGGGAGGCAGCAGUAGGGAAUCUUCCGCAAUGGGCGAAAGCUUGACGGAGCAACGCCGCGUGAGUGAUGAAGGUCUUCGGAUCGUAAAACUCUGUUAUUAGGGAAGAACAAAUGUGUAAGUAACUAUGCACGUCUUGACGGUACCUAAUCAGAAAGCCACGGCUAACUACGUG
RNAcentral lists this ribosomal RNA (496 nucleotides) under uncultured bacterium. RNAcentral describes it as "partial 16S ribosomal RNA". It matches the Rfam family "Bacterial small subunit ribosomal RNA", at positions 29 to 507 of the family's 1533-position model. The record is from RNAcentral.